UUCUGCCGGUACCUAUUGAAGCCUUAGCAGCCCGAAAGGGUGCGCCCCUGCGACUAUAAACACUGGAGGGUGCCUAAUUGCUAGUCUGCUCUGCAGGCAACACUGUCAAAUUGCGGGGAACCCCUAAAGACCUCAACACCAAGCGUCCGCCGGAAACGGCGGCGUGGCCGAGCUAAUAGCCCUGGGUACGGUAACAGCUUGAGGUAUGACGCCCCCUUGCGGGGGUGAAAAUGGGCAAUCCGCAGCCAAG
This 250-nucleotide unclassified non-coding RNA is filed under the name plant metagenome. RNAcentral describes it as "partial contains small subunit ribosomal RNA, internal transcribed spacer 1, and 5.8S ribosomal RNA". The record is from RNAcentral.